UCAUGCUGUAUAUGCAGUAUUUUGAACAGUGUAGUGUUAAAUUAUCUGAAAAUAGAACAAUGUAGUUAAGUUUUUUCUUAACAAUGAAGUCAACUGUUUGACUAAAUAUUUAGUUAAAGAAGUUUUCUUGGUCAAAGCCGAAAUUUAAUUAAUUCUGAAUUACAAACCAGUUUAAUAUUUAACCAAAAAUAUUAAAAUACAAUAUAUGGUUUAUUUAUAAAUAUAAACAUUGACCAAACCAAGAUAUUAAAAGAAUCUUAAAAUACAAUAUAUGGUUUUGUUUGGAAACAAAUAAAUGACUGUUUUGACCAAAAAACAAACAUAUUAAUCUUAUUAUUAUAUAUCCACAAUACUGAACUAUUGAAAAUACAAGUAAAAAUAUACUCCCUCUGUUUCAUAAAUAUGCAUAUUCUAGAUAAAAUUUUGUUUCAAAAAUAUACAUAUUUUAUAUUUUCAAUGUAAUUUUAUCAGCUAAUAGUGAGAAAUUGUGAAGUUCAAAAAUAUUAAUUACAUUUUUCAAAGUUUAUUGGUUUAAAAAUAUAUAAAUAUAUACAAUUAUAAAAAACUAUGCAUUUAUACCUAAAUUUUAAUAUGUUUUAUUAAAAAGUAUGGAAUUUUAAAACAUGUAUUAUUUUGAAACAGAUGAAUUAUUUACUUUAACGAGGUAGACCUCAUAUAUCAAACUUUAGACCUGAGAAUCAGGAGUUUAAGGCACAUGAUGCAACAUUGUUCAAGGCGAAUUUCACUUAUGGCCCUUUUGGAUCACCAAGACAUUCAAAUUCACAUCGUCCACCAUCAAGGCUUGUCUUAUGUAAUGUACAAAGUGUCGUGGAUCAAGCCUUAACAUUUGGCUCCAAUAACAGUCAUAGAUGAAGCAUUGCGGAAUAUAUCUCAGAUCAAUCCACUCUUAUUCCAGACAAUUUCAUACUUGGGAUCAAAUCUCACUAUAAGAUUCAAUCAGCAAAACACUUUCCAAAACCGAUACACUCAAAAUAGCCCCCAAAGAUGGGAUGUUCUCCUUGGCACCCAAGACAUUAGCCCAAAUGCUUAGUUUCCGGUUUGUAAACAUGUCUUGAUAUCCUGUCACCAGAGCAAGCCCAGGCAUCAAGUGAAUGAAGCAAUUGCUUGCGGCAGUUUAUUUUAUCAAUAAGUUUUGGCCUCAUAGUUCGUAUAUUCUCGUUAGUCUACUGGCAACGCUCACACAUCUCACCUUCUUCAAGUCACGGGGACCAUCAGUGGUUACAGUUCCGGACACAUUGUUUUUUUUUUUUGCUUCUGGUCUUAAAUAUUCUAGGAUCCGCUCUGCCUGUCACUGAUUAGUUUUCACCUUCAACUUGUUUGUAACCCCAAUUUGUAAAAUUUAGCAUUGUAAUAUUUCACAUCAAAAGUUGAGAAGUUCAAGUUCUGUUGAAUGAAAAAAAUUUGAACACAUAAUUCGCCCUAAAACUUUGUAUUGCAGUCACAGUUACGAUCGGAGAAGUCCAUAAUUGACUUUUCCUUAGAAGUUAGAACGGAGAAGUCCUUAUAAUUUUUUUUUCCACUUUUCAACCGGCCAGGCAACUUGAAGAGAGCAAAUAAAAAUACUCGAAGAAUAUAUUUGUUGAACUCUUGGAUUCUAGUUGUCUGCGAACUAGUAUCAAAUAGACGCACUUGGCACUUAUGUUUGUAGAAUUAGAUCACAUGUUUGUUAAACUCCUUACGCUGUCUUUUCUACCCUUACAGGUUCCAAGUUCCAGUCUCCACUCUUAUGUAAGUUAGAUAUGUUGCUAAUCUUACUUGUUAUAUCAUCAAUUUUUGAGUGCAUAACGUCACCAGUUCUUAUGUUAUACGACCUUAAAAACAACGUUCAAAACAUGUAUAUAUAGGCUUAUAUUGGUACAAAGUAUUUUUAAUUAUUCAUGAGUCACUCAUGAGUAAUCAAAAUUGCAUCCACUAAAUGAAAUCAAAUCUAGUAAUUGUCUCCCGCAAAAACAAGGUGGACACUAGAUCAAUGCAAUUCAUUUGAGUUUUAUGGACAUGAAAAAACUAUAAGGAAAUGUUGAAUAACCACUUUACUCAAAAGUUAUCAUUUGUUUCCCCCCUAAAUUAUAGGGUCGGGGAUCGGGACCCCAAAAGAAGCUUAUAAUUUGUUAGCAACUAAAUUGAUCGUGGUUCGCUCCAUCAUUAUGCACUCGUACUCGUAGUUGAAUAUGACUAGGCAAUGAGUGUCUUUUGCUUAAGUUCCUUCGAAACUCAAACUGUUUAUUACAUUAUUCAAUGCGACGAGUCAACAUAUUAAUCACGGGGAGAUCCAGUAUCAAUAAUUUAGAUCAUUAUAACUGUAAAAGAGAGCCAUAACUAAUGAAAAUAUUCCCAGUAAGGGAAUAAUAGUCGUCAGGAAAAUUUGCUGGUCGAAUUGUUUUUCAAAGUCAGAUUUGAAGUUUAAAAACAUUGGAGUAUAUGAUACACACAUGUGUUUCAAAAAAAAAAAUUGAUACACACAUAUACAUAUAGGUUCCUUCAAAAUACUAGGUUACAUCCAUUUUCGAUCGCUGCUGUAUUAUCAACUAUUGCUGAACUAAAAGUUCCAAAUCUCACUCUAAAAAGAGUAUUGAUGCUAAGAAAACUAUAUAACAAACUAUAUGAUUUAUAAACUUUAGACUACACAACUCAAGAAAUAGAUCGCAAUAUUUCAAAAUUGUCAUCGUCGCACAACUAUUGGGUACAUCACUCUGCAAUGCCGUAAGAUCUCGUCGAAUAAGUCUAAUCAAUAUCUAUGUUUUGCUUAGCUUCACAUAAAAUGUUUUAAUGCUCAACAAUUUUAAUAUUUUGAAGAAAAAAAUAAAAAUCUUUCACUGCGUCCACUUCACCUGGAAUCAAUGAAUGAACCAGCCUAAAUUAUAGUAGAAAAAGGCGUUAACAAAAUUAUUAUAAGAAUAUUUGUCCACACAUAAAUGGAAUUUACCAAAACUAGCACCUACAUCUGAGAGUAAUUUUGUAAAGUUUCUUAUUUUCAAUGAACGCUACAAAAGCCUACCAAAAUAGUCACAAAAAAACAUUGGAGUUCUGUCCAAUCCCGAGAUUCUGAUUACGCCACGCCAUAUUCACAAUCUUGAACCGUAAUAACAUGAAUAUAAAAGGAAGCAACAUAAACAUUGUUUAUAAUACUUCUACAAAAAAAACAUUGUUUGUAUUACAAAUUUUAUGAUAAAUAUCUGAUAUUAAAUAUUAUCCUUCUUACGAAUAGAACGACUUAGUUUGCGCACAACUAUAGUGAAUUAUUUACCAUUCAAAUCCUUAAUAAAAUACAAAUAGUAAAGUUAAUUAUAGGAAAAGACUUGUGGCUUACAAUUUAUUGGAGUUGUAGCGUACAAUUAGUUCCAAAAUAACCUAAUUUGGUUUUUAAUAUCUAGUCAUUAAAAUAUCGCCAACAUAAUUGGCGUUGAAUUUAUAUUCAUACGCGUCUUAUAUUUGAUGUCUUCACUUAUAUGUUGACAGUUUGACAUAUCUCUUGGACUUGAGUUGUGUUUUCUGUUGUUUUCCUCUUGUUCUUUACUUCUACUUCAACUCUUAGUCUAAGAUUCCCAUAUCUUUAGUCUUUUGCUGAUAUCAACAAAAUAAUAUUCCAUUGAUUUUCUAACAUUAUUAUCUGUAUAAUUUAAACAGAAAACAUCAAUGAUAACAUAAGUUAAUUUUAUUGGCAAAGAACGUGAGACCAUUCUUGCUUAGGGUUUACAGACGGCCCAAAAUAAUAAAAUGCAAAUAUCGUAUUUUUUUUAUAUAUUGGCCAUAGCAAUUUAAAUCGGGGAGCGGCUAAGUUCUAGCAUCUAUUGGUUAGCUCAUAUUAUUGGUUUGUUUACUCUGAAAACAUGUACCAGUUGAACUGUAUUUCUUUGGCUUAACGUAAAAAUUCCAAUUCAUAAAAAAUAAAUUAAAAGAUUCAUUUACAACUCUAGUUACUUAAACUGUAAAUAUUUAUUAAUUUUAUUAAGAAUAUGUUAUAUUAAAUUCUUAGAUUUUUGCAUAUGAUAAUUUUCCGCAUGUGUAUGUAUUAUCCGAUAUAUAUAUAUAUAUAUAUAUCCAAAGCAAAGUGAUUAUUCACAUUUAAUAUUUUUUAAUUUUUUAGUUUCUUUCAUUUCUAACCUUUUUUGUAACAAUUUUGUUUCAUUUCUAACAAAUAUUGUUUUUGAUAUAUAGUUUGCUUUAUGAUUUAAUUAAGAUAAAUUUUUUAAAUCCGAAUUUUUAGAUCGGAUUAGUCAGAACGUACAGAAAAUUAAAAUAGCUAUCAUAUACUCCAUUUGUUUCAAAAUAAUAUAUGUUUUAAAAUUUUCACACGUAUUGAUAAAACAUAUUAAAACUUAGUUAUUGAUGCAUAGUUUUUAGUAGUUUUGCAUUUCCUAUAUUUAUAAACUUAUAGAACUUCAAGAAAUGUAAUUAAUGUUUUUGAAAUUCACAAUUUUUCAUUAUUAUUUGACAAAAAUUACGUUGAAAAUAUAAAAUAUAUAUCACUUUGUCAUUUUGAAUCAAAAUAAUUUUCUAGAAUAUGUAUAUUUUAGAAACGAAGGAAGUAUAUUUUUAGACUGAACUAACCGCACUUAAUUUUUGCUUUUUUUUUUGUCUCAGAUCUUUCUGAUUUUUUAUAUGAAUUUCUUCUUCCAUAAAAAUAGCGAUUCACCAUUGUUUUUUUACAUGCAAAAUAAAUUUAAAUUGGAUGGUUAUAUUAGAUAGGGGAAACUAAACAAGAAGUUUGGUAUUCAUGACAGGUUGGAGAUCAAAUACAAAAUUUGAUCAAAUACAAUUACAUAAAAAUGGAAUGGUCAGUAAGGAUAAAAAAAGUUUAAUGAGAAGAAAACAAAAAGGAAACACCGUCACACAUGACUAUCUUGGAGGCAACUUGCUAUUGACAUGAGUAGAAACAAAGGAAAACGGUAGGUAAUAGCCGACUGAAGGACCUACGUUGGUCUAGUUCUAUUAAUAUUGUCUUAAUUUUUUUUGACUGAAGGCAUUCAAUAUUGUCUUAAUUUUCGACGAUCUUUUAAAUACCUAGUUAUCAAUAUUUCCAGACAUUAUCACUUGAAAUAUUUGCUUUCUCCAUUGAAUUCAUGUAUGGUAUAGAUUUUUGCUUUUAUUGUCAUAACUAAAAAAUAUAAUGAGAUUGUCUUUUUCUGAAAUUGUUAUUUUAUUUGCCAAAAUGAAAGUAUGGGACCAAAGGGAGACUUGGUUGACUUUAAAUAGGAAGGACAACGAAUGAGACAAAGCAAUUCUCCAUCACUCCAUCAAUGUCUAUGAGAAGUUUUGUGUCUGAAUCUGAAAUAGCCAACUUGUUGUGUGGAUUCGUCUUAGUUAUUCCGCCGGACACUUUACCCAUCUUCCCUUCCUCAUCUCUGACUUUUCUUCUUCCCGUCUCAUUUUGCUUUUAACAAAUUCACAUAAUGUCAUAUAAACAUACCCCAUCUGUAUAUGGAAUAGUCAAGACACUCUUCUUAAAUUCUAUUUAUUGUCAUUGCCCCCUUGGUUAUUUUAUGAUGGAUGCAUGACAUACUAAUUCUCAAAUCCAAUUUAUAAUAUGUAAUUAUAGUUUUUUUUGUAAUAUUUCAAUUUUUGUAAUAUGGUGAUACAUGCAAAAUGUUAACGAGAAUUAAUUUGACUAUUUAUAUUACUAAAAUAUGUUUACUUUCAAUCAUUUGUUUUUAAAAAAUUAGAAUUCUCGUUAGAGUAGUUUAAAAAUAAAUAAAUGUUUUUAAACUAAUGAAACGUUACGAUCGCUAGAAAACUACGAUUGAAUCCAUAAAUAAAAGUAGAUGUGAAAAUUUACAGAUGGUGAAGGUUAAAUUCUUACUGUUAAAUUUGUGUUUAUUAUGAAUUUUCAACUUAAAACUAAUUGGCUUAACUAUUGACAUCAGAUUUUAUUUACUAACACUCAAAUAUGGACAAUUAUGGGAACAACAUCCAUGGAGUAGUUUAAUAUAGAUGACUCUCAUACCAUUUAAAUUCAAGCUUAUCAUGAGGUUCCAACUUAAAAUCAAUUGCAAUAAAUAGAUUAACUUUAACUUUUUAUAUACUAGUGUUACUCCUUUUAAGCUUCUGAUGUGUGAUGUCUUUUUAAUCUUCCGAUGUGGAAUCUCAACACGCCUCCUCGAGAAGAUAACUCUUAUCGAUUCAUCUCAAAAUAAAUCUCACUUUAGGACAGAUAAUACCCUUUUGGGCCACCUAUUUAGGUUAACAAGUGAUGUUUUGAUAUCAUAUUAAGUUUGGACAUAUGCUAGAAUUCUAACUUAAAAGUUAAAACCAAUUAACGAUAAUUAGAUUGACGAUAUCCUUUUAUAUAUAAAUUAAUUAUUUCUGCAACUACCGAUGUGAAACUUCAUUUAUUAACACUUACAUCUGAUUGUAGUCGCUACAUUUGUAUGUGUUGAUCAAGGGGCUAAAUGCAUCUCGAUACAAUCUUAGUUCGGUUUCCACAUUGAGCAAUUUUAACUUGUCAUUUAUCUAUGAUAAGAAUUUUCACAGAAUGAUGAUAUAAACAAAAUAAAUGAAAAACUAGAAUAUAUCCAACUCUACACCUAGAGGCAAAUUUAUUAAAAAAAUCGUAUACUUUUCAAAUGUGUAACAAUAGAACACAUGAACUGUAGCCAUUCUAUAGCUGCCUAAAGAAACAAUACAUAUGCUGUUAACAACAGAUAUUAAUUAAAUUGGUGCCAACCAAAGUUAUAGACUUAUAGUAUGAAUUAUCUGUCUUAUUUUUGUCGCACUGUCGACCGAAUCUGGAUUGUGCUUUAUUAAUCAAGAUUAUCAAAUUACAAUACUUCAAAUGUUUAAGACAUGCUGUCACCAUAUAUUUAUAUACGGCUUCAUGAAUUUUUUAAAAGCAUGCUAGUAGAUGAGAGAGAUAAAGAAAAACACUUAGAUUACCGGCGUUGCAUGUUUUCAGUUAAGUUGAAUUCUUAUAUAUUAUCCGAGGAUAAGAUAAUAGUUAGAGUAUCUAGGGUUUCAAAAUAUGACGUGAGUGGCAAAUUGACUGAUCGAAACGAGAAUACGACUGAUCGAAACGAGAAUACGACGGUAAGAUAAUUAGAGAUAUAAAAAAAAUAAAAUCACAAAAGAGACAAGAAGUUGUAUUUAAUUUAUCAGCCACAACAAAACAAAGAGUAGUAAAAACAGGUUUCCAAACGAUUUAUUGAAGGACCAUGUUCGGCGAUCUUGGCUUCCAGAUGAUGGAAUUACCAGCUCGCUAAUAAGUAAAUCACAAAAUACAUGCUAAAAUAUAAUAUAUAGAUAUUUUUAUUGAAUAAGAAACCAAUAUUUUAGAAACCUAUUUCUGACAAAAAUAAUCUUGAUAUAUCGAUUACUAUAAAAUUUAGAGUGGCCUAAAUACAUACUAGCUAUAUGUUUUAAGAAAGAAAAGAAAAUAGCUAGCUGUAUGUAAUCCGUUGUACAAGAAAUACAAUGGAUAGAUUCCUUAAUAUAACCACGUUUUAGCCUUUAGGCCACUUUUUAGGUUGUCCAAAAAGAAAAAAAAACCACGUUUUAAAAUUCAAAGUCGCAUCUAUAUAACAACAUCGUACAUGUCGGGAAAUUAUUUUAGAUUCAUUUCAUCUCAGUAUGACGCACAUAGUAACACAUUAAAUUUUUUGAACAAAAAAAAAAAAAAAAGUAACACAUUAAAUUUCAAAAGUACAUAUGGGUUCCACAGUCGUAGAUUUCCAAACUAACUAAAUAAAUGAAAUUGCAAAAAGCAAUUGUUUUGUAUUUAUUAUCUUACUAAAAAUUACUCGCAUAUAUUGAAAAAAUCAAGAAAUUAAAAUUAGACAUUUUUGAUAAGAUUUAUAAGUUAUAAAAUUUGAUAAUAUUUCAUUAAUCGCUACAGUAGAUAAAAUAUAUAAAAUUAUUUAUAAUGCGAUAAAAUUGGUUAUAAAAUUUCAUAAAUAAUAUAUAAAAGAUUAUAAAUUCAUAUAAAUUCAUUUAUAAAGCCUCAGUAAUCAUUUAUAAAAUAUAAUAGAAUCAGUUGUAAGAGUUAAAAUAAAGAAUAAGAAUUUUCAAAAGUUUACAAUGUUAUUUAUAAAAACUUUUAAACAUGUAUACAAGCUUCUAAAAUAUUCAGCAAGAGUUAUAAUGUUUUAAUAGAAGUUGUGAAGCUUUACAAAAUUAUUGCUAAAGUCUUAUUAAUCAUUUGUAAAAAUUUACUAAUAUAUAUAUAUAUGACCUUGUAAAUAAAUUAUAAAAAUUUAUAAUAAUGUACAAGGAUUUUAUAAAUUAAUUUUAAAGGCUAUAAAUUGGUUAUAAGAAUUUUAAAAAAAAUGUAGAAAGUGAUUAUUAAUCACUUAUAAACUUUUAUCUAUUUUAGUGAUUGUAUAAACCCUUGUUUGAUAUUACAAAUCAACUCUUAUAAAUUAUUUUACAAGUUUAUAAUGAGAAAUUCUUUAUGUAAAAUUUUAAAUGUUUACAUCCAAAAUAGACAAAGAAUGACAUAUGUUAAUGAUUUACAAGAUAAUUGUAUAGAACAUUAAAAAAAUAAAUUUAUAAAUUGUCUUUUGAUUCAAAAAUAAUUUAGGGGUUUUACACAGAAAACCUUUAUAACAACAACAAAACAUUUUCCCUUUCUUUUGAAAAAGUGUCAUCUUAUAUUUUUCAUUGUUAUACAAAAAUCAUCGUUGUAAAAUUUCACUACAAUUUAUAUUUAUUUUUAGCUGAAUAUUAACUGUAAAAUGCAUUGAUUUAAUAAAUAAAUUUAUUUAUUAAAAAUAUUAUAUGUUAAGUAUAUGUAAUUAAUCGAAUAAUAUAUUUGUACUAUUUACUUAAUAUGUGUGAGAAGCGUUUACUGGCAUUGGAAGAGUAUGAAAAUUAUUUGUCAAAAAACAUUAUAAUAUUAGAAAUCAAAACAUUCAACAUUGCGAAUAUUCAUAGACGUAUAGAAAUAUAAUUGGUUGGAUCACGUGGUUCUGCAAAAAGAUCGUUACAUUUUUUUAAUUUUAGUACAUGACAAAUCAAAUUUGGAGUCUUGUACUCCCACGACAAAAUUUUACAGAUAGGCUACAGUAAUGUGUUACAAAUAUUACCAAAAUUUUACAGAUAGGCUACUCCCAUAAUAUUAAAUGAAAUACAUAAUGUGUUACAAAUAAUACCAAAAUUAAUAGAAUUCUUCAAAAUUAACCGACUUUUAAAUCUGGCGAUCAUAUACUCUAUUGAUUUCAUUAAAAAUGUCAUUUUAACACAUUUCACGCAAAUUAAAAAAAAUAUAAAAAUAAUGAUGUACCGGCAUUUAAUCUAUAAUUAUUUAAAUAAAAAUCUAUUAUUUGUUUGAUAGGAUAAAAAGAUAUUUUAUAUGAAAAAUUGCAUUGGGAACAUAGAGUGACAUAUUUUUUAAAUAAGAAAAAAUGAUAAAAUAAUUCUUUUAAAAAUAAGAGCAUAUCUUCAAAGACUAGCCAAUUAUUAAAAUAAAGGCAAAACUAAGUCAAGCGUCAACAAUUUUAAAACUGGAUUUACAUAAUUUACAAACUCGAAUAAUAUUAAAAUAUAGGCAAAACUAAGUCAACAAUUUUAAAACUGGAUUUACAUAAUUUCCUAAAUCGAAUAAUAUUAAAAUAAUAUUCACAUAAAAUUUACUCAAAAACUGGUGAUAAAAUAUAAAUUCAAAUAGUGAAAAUAAAAUAUUUUAAAUACAAACAAUUAUAUUAACUUUAGCAAAUGAUUUUCAAAAUCUUGUCCUAUUUACUUUCACCAAUAUAUUAGCAAAAUAUGUAAAUUAUAGCAUAUUUAAUGAAUAUAGGUCCAUUCUAAUUAUUGAUAAAAGUAAUUUAAUAUAUCAAAUGAUGAUUUUAGCAUAGCAAAAUGUUAUACAAAUAUAUUAACAUGCAUUAGUUACAGAUGAUAAAAUAAAUUAAGUAUAAAAUUAUAAACAAUUUUAUAUUAAUAAUAUCGAAACAAGAUAUAAAAAUAUUGUUAUUUAAUUAUACUAUAUAUAAUUUUAAAUGUAAAUAAUAUUUUAAAAUUGUUACUUGUAAAUUCAAAAUCUAUACACAGAGCCGGGACUGAAAAAAAUUAGCCCAUACGCGAAAAAAAUAUUUUGGUUCUUUUUUAAAAAAUAUUGUAAAAAUAUUACUUAUACACAGUAAUAAUAAUGUUACCAGUAAAGCUAUCUAAUAUUUCUGAUUAUAUUUGACCCCAUGAAAUAUAUAUUCUUUGACCCUGAAGCACAUGAUUUAUUGAAUUUGUUAAGGCAUGACCCUGUCUAUACAUUUAAAAAAUAUGAAAGAAAGAAAUUCUUUAAAAUGUCAUCUAAUUAAAAACGGAGGAAAUACUAUUUAAUUGUAUGCGAACCUUUCGGUUGAACAAUUAUCAUGAAUGCUUUGAUGAAAUUUUUUUUAUCCAUGAUUAGGUAAAUAUUUACGUUUUUGUUUUAAUAUUUACUAGAUUUUGACCUUGUAGGUGUUUGUUUUUCUGUUAAGAAUUGUUUCUAACCUUUGACAAUGCCAUAAAAUUAAUUUUUGAUUUGAUACUUUAUUCAGUUUUGACAUUCGUGUGUCUCGUUUAAUAUGUUUAGCCUCCACUUAUAAAUUAUGAGAUUAUGUAUUUUUUUGUGUAUUGCCGACUUUUUUUGAUAACGUAAAAAUUAAAAUAUAUAAUAUUAUAUUUUUAAGUAUACUUGUGAAUUUUAUUAAAUUAUAUUAUAAAUAUUUUGAUUUAAAGUUGUAUAUAAAGUUCAAGUUUGAUAUUGAGAUUUUUUAAAAAACAAAUAUAUGUUUAGGUAGAAACAUUCAAAACUAAGAAUUGAAUUUUAAUCAUUUAAUAAUUUAAGUUAUUGAGUUGGGCCAUUUGGCUAUGAUUAAAAUUUUGGUCCAUACAUGCAGAGUUUACAAUCUGAGAAUAUACAUAUCUUCAAAAUUUACCAUAAAAGAUAUCAAAAUUGUUUUACACAUUUUAAAAGAGAAUAUACGCAUCUUGCAAAUUUAACAGAUAUUUCUUCAAUUUCUCUAGAUAAUAAAUAUUUGGUUAGUUAAUAUAACAGAUAAUAAAAUUGAUUUAUGCGUCGUAAGUAUAGAAUAUAGAAUAUUGAACAAUAAUUUUUUUAUUCCUUUUGUCUAAAUAGAUAAUUAUAAUUGGUUCUUAAGAUAAGCGAUUUAAAUAUGUUACUAUAAACUAGCUCAAGCAAUUAGGAUGUUGUUAGGAAUAUUCGUUAGUUGAUUCAAACUUCACGUACACAGUUUUUAUAUAUAAAAAAUAUUAUUUUUAUUUACUUAGGAGAGCAGUGAAGUUAAUAUGAAGUUUUGAAUAGAUUGCAUUUGAAAAAUUGAAAGGAGUUUUGAUAUAGUGUUAGUAAGAUUGAUAUUUUUUGAUUAAUUUUAUACCUAAAAUGAGGAAUUGAUUUUUUUGAAUGUAUUCUGUUAUGAAACCUGUCAUUAUGGGGAUUAUAUAUUAAUAAUUGUGGUUAUAUAAACUAUGUUUCUUUAUGUAAUAUGACAUGAUAAUCCGUCAUUUUAUUUUGUGAUAUACAUGAACAAAAAGUAUUCACAUGAUAAAUAGUUAUUUGUUAGUUUUUAUAUUAGUAUCUAAUGCAAUGAGUAAAUAAUUAAUGAUAUGAUUUUGUUAAAUUUUCAUUGACAUGAAUUUAUGAUUAUAUGUUUUCCAUACGUCUUUUUCUUACCUUUGUAUUUUUUUAUUAUUUCCAGAAUUAUAAUAGAGUUAGAAUUGGUUUGAAGAUGCAAUAAGUUGUUAAUAGUUUAAAUGAAUUCUGGUUUUGGUAAUGGCAUUAAUAAUGGUUUAAGCCAGUGACAUGAGAUGGUAAUUAUUGAAGAAAAUUCAGGGUUAAAUUUUAUUGGUCCUCGUGUGUUUAAUAGAUUAGAUGUUUUUCUAAAGGCAAAAAGGAUAGUACUUUAUAUACUCUGUAAGUGAAAGAAUAUUUAUAUGAAAAAAAGAAACAUAGUGUUUAGUAAUUGGUAUUUAUAAAUUGGCACGCAAUAACGAAAAUCUAAAACCAAGCCCAACUGGUCUCUUUUGUGAUUGG
Brassica rapa (field mustard) is the source of this 11980-nucleotide long non-coding RNA. RefSeq lists it as uncharacterized. The record is from RefSeq and is a predicted model, not a curated record. Lineage: Eukaryota; Viridiplantae; Streptophyta; Magnoliopsida; Brassicales; Brassicaceae.